GUACACUCCUACGGGAGGCAGCAGUGGGGAAUAUUGCACAAUGGGCGCAAGCCUGAUGCAGCCAUGCCGCGUGUAUGAAGAAGGCCUUCGGGUUGUAAAGUACUUUCAGCGGGGAGGAAGGCAAUACGGUUAAUAACCGUGUUGAUUGACGUUACCCGCAGAAGAAGCACCGGCUAACUCCGUGCCAGCAGCCGCGGUAAUACGGAGGGUGCAAGCGUUAAUCGGAAUUACUGGGCGUAAAGCGCACGCAGGCGGUCUGUCAAGUCGGAUGUGAAAUCCCCGGGCUCAACCUGGGAACUGCAUUCGAAACUGGCAGGCUUGAGUCUUGUAGAGGGGGGUAGAAUUCCAGGUGUAGCGGUGAAAUGCGUAGAGAUCUGGAGGAAUACCGGUGGCGAAGGCGGCCCCCUGGACAAAGACUGACGCUCAGGUGCGAAAGCGUGGGGAGCAAACAGGAUUAGAUACCCUAGUAGUCC
RNAcentral lists this ribosomal RNA (473 nucleotides) under uncultured organism. Its description in RNAcentral is "partial 16S ribosomal RNA". It matches the Rfam family "Bacterial small subunit ribosomal RNA", at positions 331 to 796 of the family's 1533-position model. The record is from RNAcentral.